CCCUUAGAUGUUCUGGGCCGCACGCGUGCUACACUGGUGUUAGCAGCGAGUAAGUUUUUGGCCUUUGCCGAAAGGCAUGGGCAAACUUGUCAAAUGACGCCGUGCUGGGAAUUGAUCAUUGUAAUUUUUGAUCAUAAACGAGGAAUCCCUUGUAAAUGCAAGUCAUCAACUUGCAUUGAAUACGUCCCUGCCCUUUGUACACACCGCCCGUCGCUUCUACCGAUGAAUGGUCCGGUGAACACUUUGGACUCGUGGUCGGAACGGAAUUUCCGUAAACGACCAACGGGGAAGUUGUGUAAACCUUAUCAUUUAGAGGAAGAAGAAGUCGUAACA
RNAcentral lists this ribosomal RNA (333 nucleotides) under uncultured eukaryote. RNAcentral's name for it is "partial 18S ribosomal RNA". It matches the Rfam family "Eukaryotic small subunit ribosomal RNA", at positions 1470 to 1796 of the family's 1831-position model. The record is from RNAcentral.